UGUUAGGAAAGCUGUAUGUAUCCAACACCAACAUUGACCUGUAUCGCUCAGGAGAGGCCAGGUCGUCCGUGCCACCAAGGGACAAGAAGACAGGCCUCUGCCUUGCUCCUGUCACGUCCAUUGAAGAUGGCUUCAGCUGCGUUCCAUGCCACUGCACUGGUGCUGGGAUAAGAGACGCCUGACUUCCAAUCACCGAUCAUGGUCUAUCUUUUUACAUUUUCAGAAAAGAGACUAAAAUUAUUUAUGUAUUUAUGAAAAAUUGAGGUAAAUUCUAUUUUAACCAUCUUUUAUUUUUCUGAAGUCUAAAAGUCACUGCAGGGUGUUGAGAAUGUAGCGGCCAGCAAAAACCAGAAAACCAGUUCCUUUCCUCAGAAAUAAUAGUCUAAACUGAAUAGUGGUUAGUGUAUUUUGCCAGAGUUUAGGUAUGCAUUCCUCAAAGAAUCUCUCAACUUUUGCUUGCAGCUGUCAACUUAGUCUUUCAAGUCCUAUUUUGGUAAGGGGGAACUUUGAA
Molecule: long non-coding RNA, 511 nt
Filed under: Chinchilla lanigera (long-tailed chinchilla)
Lineage: Eukaryota; Metazoa; Chordata; Mammalia; Rodentia; Chinchillidae
Description: lncRNA (ENSCLAG00000026319.1)
Source: RNAcentral